UUUUCUUUCUUUCUUUUUCUUA
RNAcentral lists this small RNA (22 nucleotides) under Arabidopsis thaliana (thale cress). Its description in RNAcentral is "ATSL281760". Lineage: Eukaryota; Viridiplantae; Streptophyta; Magnoliopsida; Brassicales; Brassicaceae. The record is from RNAcentral.